CGCACCUUGCGCUCCUUGGUAUUCCGAGGAGCAUGCCUGUUUGAGUGUCUUGAAGUCAUCAACCCAAGCCGUUUUACUGCGGCCGACGGUUGGACCUGGGGUGUGCUGCCGUGAGGCUGCUCCCCUCAAAUGUGUCGGUUGGGCCUGUGGGUCGAACUCGAAAGGGCGUUGUACCAUCCUCGCUCCCUCGAGAUGCCUCCCCUCCCGUGCCCCUCCACGACCUGCCUCUGAAGGGUGGCGGUCAAACCUUUUGAAAUCUGACCUCAAAUCAGGUAGGACUACCCGCUGAACUUAA
Molecule: unclassified non-coding RNA, 295 nt
Filed under: Trechispora sp.
Lineage: Eukaryota; Fungi; Basidiomycota; Agaricomycetes; Trechisporales; Hydnodontaceae
Description: partial contains 5.8S ribosomal RNA, internal transcribed spacer 2, and large subunit ribosomal RNA
Source: RNAcentral